AGCUUAUUGUUUUUUAUAAUAAGUAUUUCCUGCCCGGUGAUAGUUUAAACGGCCGCGGUACUCUGACCGUGCAAAGGUAGCAUAAUCAUUUGCCUUUUAAUUAGGGGCUGGUAUGAAGGGAACGACAGGACCUUAGCUGUCUCUCUUUUAUAAUUGGAAUUUGUUUUUUUUGUGAAGAAACAAAAAUUUAAAAAAAAGACAAGAAGACCCUAUUAAGCUUUUAUUUUUUAGAGCUAGAGUGUUGUUAUUUUAACAAAUAUUUAGGUUGGAAAAAAUUUGGUUGGGGCGACCGGAGAAGAAGAAAUCUUCUUUGAAUGUAGAAAAAUUAUGAGUUAAAUCUUGGGCCAAAGUGUUUUGAGAAAAAGAAGAAGUUACUAUAGGGAUAACAGCGUAAUUUUUUCGGAGAGUUCUUAUUGAUGAAAAAGAUUGCGACCUCGAUGUUGACUUGUUAUUUCCUAGUUGAUGCAGAAGUCUAAAAGGUUGGUCUGUUCGACCAUUAAAAUAGC
Molecule: ribosomal RNA, 506 nt
Filed under: Nemertea sp. RCMBAR2308
Lineage: Eukaryota; Metazoa; Nemertea
Description: partial 16S ribosomal RNA
Rfam family: Bacterial large subunit ribosomal RNA
Source: RNAcentral